GUCGAAGAUGACGGCACGUUUGAUCUUGUUGCGAAUCAAUGUUUGCAAUAGGUAUCAUUUCUUCAUCCAUUGGAAGAGAGGUGUAGAAUCCUGAUGUGGAUAAAUUUCCGAGAGUGAAGGAGGUAAGUGCUUGAAGGUUCUCAGGGUCACCUGAAAUCGGUGAACGGACGAGCGGGGAAAGCACAUCGAGAAUGAAAGAAAGCUGAAGGAGGAACCAAAGAGAAUUUUAGCUAAGUAUUUAAUCGGUAUGCGUGCUUAUAAGGCAUUUCUUG
Molecule: unclassified non-coding RNA, 272 nt
Filed under: Hevea brasiliensis (rubber tree)
Lineage: Eukaryota; Viridiplantae; Streptophyta; Magnoliopsida; Malpighiales; Euphorbiaceae
Source: RNAcentral